AGUCAAAUACGACUUCUACAAGAACCUUCAGAAGGAAGAAUUGGGGCUGUUCAGAUGAGAAGAGGGUCACUUGGUAAUAUUGCUUCUAAUCUCUCCUUCUUCAGCUUCUUCUUACCGUCUCCUAUCUCCAAAAACUACUGAGGAUAUUCUCCAUGCUCUAAAAGUCCUUCAGUUAGAUCAAUACCACCAGUUUGUCCCUUGGUAUGAAUUUAUACUCCAAAUUACCACCUCUAAGGAAUAGAUGGGUUCUCCCUUACCACAUACACUGCCCCACGUACCAAUAUGCUUUCAGACUCCUGCUUCUAUUGCAUUCCCUUGGGGUGAAACCUACCCCUCCUUCUGCUCUUCACCAAGCCCCCAGUGUCCUCAUGCCUCCUGGUGGACGUGGUCCAUCCUUGAAGACAUAGACCAAAGAAACACGGCCUGUGCAGCACUGAGGCCCGGCUUCCAGGCAGAAUCAUUUCCUCCUCCCUUGGGCUCAGCAGCACUGGUACCAGGUUGACACCCCGACACACGCCACUGCCUGACUCCCACCAGAUCUUCUCCUCGCUGACUCCUUCCAGCCAGUCCCCAUUCCAAAUGUCACCUCCUCACAGAGACCUUCCCUGAGCACAUUGAGUCCCUGCUACCAGUUAUUCUCUAGCCCCAUUUUAAUUUCUUCAUAGCACCUGUCGCUAUAUAGCAGCCACUUCAUAGUAAUGAUUAUAUUUGUGCAUGUAUGUUUCCUGCUGAUGUCUGUAUCUCCCCUGGAGAAAGGAAGUGGGUUUCAUUCACUGCUAUUCCCCUGGUGCCCAGAACAGAACCUGGUGCAUUGCUAGGGCUGAUAAUGAACAAAUCUUGCACCCCCUCAGUGCUGUCAUUCAAGUGACAUGUUUAUAUUCUCUCUCUCUCUCUCUCUCUCUCUCUCUCUCUCUCUCUCUCUCUCUCUCAAUCACAUCCAGCUCAGUUUUCAACACUAAUCCAGUACCUGGUACAUAUUAAGAAAGUAUCAGAUAUCUGAUGAAGAAUUAAAAGAAUAGUAAGAUUCUUUCUACUUAUAUCAGGAAAGGUUUUGUCUGAGAAAACCAUCUGGUCUUUGCAUGGGUAGUGCUGAUGAUGGCUUGGGGUCAGGGGUGAUAUUUAAAAUAUGUAACCAGUUCUGUGCCUUCCUCCACCGAUCUCCUGAUGUCAGCUGUGGACUAGAGCAGGUCUCUGGAUGGGCAUCCACCCUCCCACGACUGGAUUCUGGGGUGUUCUGGGGGCACCAGGAAAGCGUUUGGAAUCAGGAGGGAUCAUGCAGUAUUUUACCAAGAUGUGUAGACAUAUUUAAAUAUUUUCACAACUGGCUGACUCUCAGCCCUUCCUGGUGCCCUCUGUAGGAGAGUGUUCACGAGCAUCACCUAUGAUUCUCAGACCUGGAGGGGUGCACAGCUGGAGCUCUGCAUCUGGAAAAGCACAGAUCCAAAGCCGGCAGCCUCAGUGUCCCUGUGGUUCAGGCCAGCG
Molecule: long non-coding RNA, 1482 nt
Filed under: Marmota monax (woodchuck)
Lineage: Eukaryota; Metazoa; Chordata; Mammalia; Rodentia; Sciuridae
Source: RNAcentral